Molecule: long non-coding RNA, 8982 nt
Filed under: Homo sapiens (human)
Lineage: Eukaryota; Metazoa; Chordata; Mammalia; Primates; Hominidae
Description: non-protein coding lnc-PAGR1-2:9
Source: RNAcentral
ACUUGAGCCCAGGAGUUUGAAGCUGCAGUGACCCCAGAUUGCACCACUGUCCUCCAGCCUGGGCAAUAGAGCAAGACCCUUUCUCAAAAAUGAAAAAGAACAUUCUGGAGAGACAGAGAAGCAAGAGGGACCAGAAAGGAGAUGGGCUCUUGCUAUGUUGCCCAGGCUGGUCUCAAGCUCCUGGCCUCAAGAGAUCCUCCUGCCUCAGCCUCCCAAAGUGCUGGGAUUACAGGUGUGAGCUACCACACUGGCCCCUGCCUCAUACUUUUAAUUAACAUAAGUCUCUCUCUCUUCAGACCAUUUAGCCCCCAUUUUGGUUGGAAAAUAUCAGUGAGGUGAGGCUUGGGUAACAAAAAUGUCAAGCCUCUGAGAGGAGUCCAGGGUAUAAAAACAGGCGUGGGCCUGUUUCCAAAACCCUGACCAUCCUCAUGUCUGUCCCUCUUUCCUGCUGCUGAGGGUGGGAGGAGCCUGGAGCAGAGUGUGACAAGAUGUCAUCAGGCUCUGGAGUCCAGGUGACUUUCUGAGAUUCUCUAGUUUGACUCAUCCACAGAUGACAAAAGUAAGGCUUAAAGAAAAGAGAUUUCAUGACCAAAGUCGCAUGACCAAUGUAUGUGUGGGUGAGCAUGUAGUGGCCAGGGUGGUGGAAGAAUAGAUAGAAAUCCCUGGGCUGGGCGAGGUGGCUCAUGCCUGUAAUCCCAGCACUUUGGGAGACCGAGGCGGGUGGAUCACCUGAGGUCAGGAGUUUGGGAGCAGCCUGGCCAACAUGGCAAAACCCCGUCUCUACUAAAAAUACAAAAAUUAGCCGGGCGUGGUGCCGCACGCCUAUGACCCCAACUACUCAGGAGGCUGAGGCAGGAGAAUCGCUUGAACCCGGUGCAGUGAGCCGAGAUCGUGCCAUUCCACUCCAGCCUGGGCAACAGAGCGAGACUCUGUCUCAAAAUAAAUAAAUUAAAUAAAUAAAUGAAUGAAAAGACAGUCUCCGUCAGACUGCCCCAUCCUGGUGGUUUUGAGCCCUGCUGGGAGGAGCUGGAGAUGGAGAGUCCGGGGGAAACCGCCUUUGCAAAGAAAGAGAUCUAACUUAACUGACUCCACCUUGCUUCUAACCUCCAAGCUGUCUUUGUUUAUUCCUGGGCGUAGGCUGAACUAACUUUGGGAGAAACUUAGUUUGUAGUUUAUAGUUUAAACAAAGACAGUAACAGCCCUUUCCCAAAGCAGACCUUCUUGCCUGGGGACUAGACUAACACUAGCCAUAGGAUUAGAAAUUAUGGUUUAGGAGUCAUGCAGCUGGAGGCUACAAGAUUCUGACCCUCCCUAAACUGCUCCUAACAUCAGUGCUUGAGAUAUUUUGCAGACCCUGCACUUGAUGGAUCAGCUGGCACCACCCAGAUCAAUAAACUGGCUCAUCUGAUCUUGUGGCCCCCACCCAGAACUGACUCUGCAAGAAGACAGCUCUGACUCCUGAUGAUUUCAUCUCUGACCAAUCUGCACUCCCAGAUCCCAGCACUUUGGGAGGACCAGACAGGCAGAUCACAAGGUCAGGAUGAGAGGUGACAGCGUGCUGGCAGCCCUCACUCACUCUGGGCGCCUCCUCGGCCUCCACGCCAACUCUCCCUGCGCUUGAGGAGCCCUUCAGCCCGCCGCUGCACUGUGGGAGCCCCUCUCUGGGCUGGCCGAGGCGGGAGCCCGCUCCCUCUGCUUGCCAGAGGUGUGGAGGGAGAGGCGCGGACGGGAACUGGGGCUGCGGGCCACGCUCGAGGGCCAGCAUGAGUUCCGGGUGGGCGUGGGCUCGGUGGGCCCCGCACUCAGAGAGGCCGGCUGGCGCCAUUGGCCCCAGGCAGUGAGGGGCUUAGCACCCAGACCAGCAGCUGCAGAGGGUGCGCCAGGUCCCCCAGCAGUGCCAGCCCACAGGUGCACUUGAAUUCUCGCAGGCCUCAGCUGCCUCCCCACGGGGCAGGGCUUGGGACCUGCAGCCCGCCAUGCCCAAGCGUCCCCCUGCCUGGGCUCCUGCACCGCCCCCUGCUCUGCGGGGCCUGGUCCCAUCAACCGCCCAAGGGCUGAGGAGUGCAGGCACAGGAUUGGUGGGCAGCUCCACCUGCAGCCCAGGUGCUAGGUCCACUAGGUGAAGCCAGCUGGGCUCUUGAGUCUAGUGGGCACUUGGAGAACCUUUAUGUCUAGCUAAGGGAUUGUAAAUACACCAAUCAGCACUCUGUGUCUAGCUCAAGGUUUGUAAACACACCAAUCAGCACCCUGUCAAAAUGGACCAAUCAGCUCUCUAUAAAACAGACCAGUUGGCUCUCUGUAAAAUGGGCCAAUCAGCAGGAUGUGGGUGGGGCCAGAUAAGGCAAUAAAAGCAGGCUGCCAGAGCCAGCAGUGGCAACUCGGCGUACCCUUCCACAUAGGAAGCUUUGUUCUUUUGAUCUUUCCAAUAAAUCUUGCUGCUGCUUAUCCUGGGUCUGCACUGCCUUUAUGAGCUGUAACAUCGUGAAGGUCUGCAGCUUCACGCCAGAGGCCAGCGAGACCACGAACCCACCAGAAGGAAGAAACUCGGAACACGUCCGAACAUCAGAAGGAACAAACUCCGGACAUGCCGCCUUUAAGAACUGAAACACUCACCGUGAGGGUCCGCAGCUUCAUUCUUGAAGUCAGUGAGACCAAGAACCCGCCAAUUCUGGACACAAGGAGAUCGAGACCAUCCUGGCUAACACGGUGAAACCCCAUCUCUACUAAAAAUACAAAAAAUUUAUUAGGCGUGUUGGCGGAUGCCUGUAGUCCCAGCUAGUCCCAGCUACUCCCAGCUACUUGGGAGGCUGAGGCGGGAGAAUGGCAUGAACCUGGGAGGCGGAGCUUGCAGUGAGCCGAGAUUGCGCCACUGCCCUCAAGCCUGGGCGACAGAGCAAGACUCCAUCUCAAAAAAACAAAACAAAAACAAACAAAAAAACCCUCUGUUUCCCGAAUGCUCAGGGAGACUGAUUUGAGUAAUAAUAAAACUCCUGGCUGGACACAGUGGCUCACGCCUGUAAUUUCAGCAAUUUGGGAGGCCAAGGCCGGUGGAUCACCUUAGGUUGGGAGUUUGAGACCAGCGUGACCAACAUGGAGAAAACACUGUCUCUACUAAAAAUACAAAAUUAGCCAGGUGUGGUGGCAAGUGCCUGUAAUCCCAGCUACUCAGGAGGCUGAGGCAGGAGAAUCACUUAAACCCUGGAGGCGGAGGUUGCAGUGAGCCGAGGUGGCACCAUUGUACUCCAGCCUGGGCAAAAAGAGCAAAACCGUCAAAAAAAAAAAAAAAAAAAAAAAAAAAACUCCGGUCUCCUGCACAGCUGGCUCUGUGUGAAUUACUCUUUAUUGCAAUUUUGCUGUCUUGAUGAAUCGGCUAUGUGUAGGCAGCGGGCAAGGUGAACCCCUUUGGCAGUUACAGGGGGAAGCUAAGGCUCAGGACACUCGCAGAAACCUGAGGAGGCUAGAAUUUUACCAGAUUACAAGCCUUAAAAUCAAACCUGAAGUUAGUGCCAGCGAACAACACGCUUAAAAAUAACUAAGAUGUUCUUUCUGGCUGUUCUAGAGGUCAAUAUAGAAAAAUGAUAGUAACUUUGAUGUUAUUUUAUGUUAUGUAUUUCUUUUUUUCUUUUGAGACGGAGUCUGUCUCUGUUGCCCAGGCUGGAGUGCGGUGACGCAAUCUUGGCUCACUGCAACCUCCGCCUCCCGGGUUCAAGAUAUUCUUCUGCUUCAGCCAUCCAAGUAGCUGGGAUUACAGGUGUGUACCACCGUGCCUGGCAGUUAUGUGUGUUUCCCUACAAUCAAACAAUGAUUUAUUGUAAAAAAAAAAAAAAUCAAAAUAAACAAAACCUGAAAACUUGUAUGUGCUCUUUUAAUCAAUCUUUUUAAACAAACUUUUAGAAGAGUUAACAUUAUUAAAAACUGGAAAGAUCAGACAUGGUUUUUUCUUACUAAGAUAUCACUGGCUGUUUUGAUUCUUUCAUCACGUACAAGUUUAGGCCCUACACAAUGGUUCAUGCCUGUAAUCCCAGCACUUUGGGAGGCCAAGACAGGUGGAUCACCUAAGGUCGGGAGUUUGAGGCCAGCCUGACCAACAUGGCGAAACCCCGUCUCUACUAAACAUACCAAAAAAGGCCGGGUGAGGUGACUCACACCUGUAAUUCCAGCACUUUGGGAGGCCAAAGCAGGCGGAUCAUGAGGUCAGGAGUUCGACACCAACUUGGCCAACAUGGUGAAACCCUGUCUCUACUAGAAAUACAAAAAUUAGCCGGGUUUGGUGGCAGGUGCCUGUAGUCCCAGCUACUUGAGAGGCUGAGGCAGGAGAAUCGCUUGAACCCAGGAGGUGGAGGUUGUAGUGGGCCGGGAUCAUGCCACUGCACUCCAGCCUGGGUGACAGGGCAAGACUCUGUCUGGGGAAAAAAAAAAAAAUUAGCUGGGCGUGGUGACACAUGCCUGUAAUCCCAGCUACUCAGGAGGCUGAGGCAGGAGAAUUGCUUGAACCCAGGAGGAAGAGGUUGCAGUAAGCUGUGAUCAUGCCACUGCACUCCACCCUGGACAACAGAGCGAGACUCUGUCUCAAAAAAAAAAAAAAAAAGUUUAAGGCCAGGCAAGGUGGCUCAUGUUUGUAAUCCCACAAUUUUGGGAGACUGAAGCAGGAGGAUUGCUUGAGGGCAAGAGUUUGAGACCAGCCUGGGUAACAUAGCAAGACUCCCAUUUCUACAAAAAAUCAAAAAAUUAGCCAGGCAUGAUGGCAUGUGCUUGUAGUCUUAGUUACUUGGGAGGCUGAGAGGGGAGGAUCACUUGAGCUCAGGAGUUCAAGGCUGCAGUGAGCUAUGGGUGUACCACUACACUCCAGCCUGGGAAACAAAGCAAGACACUGUCUCAACAACAAAAAAAGACCAAGUAUAUUUAGUCAUUCUAUAAAAUUUAAGAAGCCAGCCAAAAACAUUUAUGUUCAGCAAUUUGUUUCAGUUAUUUCUUCUUACUUGGAAAUAAUACACACAUCUAAUGAAUAAUAGUUAAUUUAAUAGAACAUAAUAGAAGAUUUAAAAUUACAUGAAAAAUUUAUUUAUAAUAAAUUAUCCAUUACAUACUUUAUUUUUAACAGUUUCCCUAGAUUAUUUAUGAAAACUGAGAUAUUAGGCAAGGAUAGUCAUUAUUUCAAGUUACUUCCCUGUUAAUCAUUUUUAUAGCCUGUGACAAUCAGGUAUUCACCUAAGUAAGAAGCUUAAACAUAUGAGUAAUUUCUUGAUAACUCAGGAGAUACAGUUUUUUUUUUUUUUUUUUUUGAGGUGGAAUCUCGCUCUGUCUCCUAGGCUGGAGUGCAGUAGUGUAGUCUCGGCUCACUGCAACCUCUGCCUCCAGGUUCAAGCGAUUCUCCUGCCUCAGCCCCCCGAGUAGCUGGGACUACAGGCUCCUGCCACCACACCUGGCUAAUUUUUGUAUUUUUAGUAGAGACGGGGUUUCACUAUGUUGUCCAGGCUAGUCUUGAACUCCUGACCUCAGGUGAUCCACCCACGUCGGCCUCCCAAAGUGCUGCGAUUACUAAACCACCAUGCCCGGCCGAUAUAGAUGUUUUUACUAAAUGAAAAAUAUUAAAUUAGUAUUACUUAUCAAAAAUUACACAGGCUGGGCGUGGUGGCUCAGAUCUGUAAUCGCAAUAAUCACACUUUUUCUUUUUCUUUUUUCUUUUUUUUUUGAGACGGAGUCUUGCCCUGUUGCCCAGGCUGGAGGGCAAUGGCACAAUCUCGGCUCACUGCAACCUCCGCCUCCCAGGUUCAAGUAAUUCUCCUGCAUCAGCCUCCCGAGUGGCUGGGAUUACAGGCAUGCACCACCACGCCCGGCUAUUUUUUUUUUUUUUUUUUUUAUCUUUAGACAGAGUUUCACCAUGUUGGCUGGGCUGGUCUCAAACUCCUGACCUCAUGAUCCAUCCGCCUCAGCCUCUCAAAGUGCUGAUAUUACAGGCGUGAGCUACUGUGCCUAGCAACACUUUUUCUUUUUCUUUUUUUUUUUUUUUUUUUUUUUUUGAGACGGAGUCUCACUCUGUCACCCAGGCUGGAGUGCAGUGGCAUGAUCUCAGCUCACUGCAACCUCCGCCUCCCAGGUUCAAGCAAUUCUCCUGCCUCAGCCUCCCGAGUAGCUAGGAUUACAGGUGUGUGCCACCAUGCCUGGCUAAUUUUUGUAUUUUUAGUAGAGAUGGGGUUUCACUAUGUUGGUCUCAAACUCCUGACCUGGUGAUCCACCCCCUUCAGCCUCCCAAAGUGCUGGGAUUACAGGCAUGAGCCACCAUGCCCUGCGUCACUUUUUCUUUUAAUUAAUUUAAAAAAAUUUGUUUUUAGACAGAGUCUCACUCUGUUGCCCAGGCUGGAGGGCAGUGGCUUGAUCUCAGCUCACUGCAACCUCCACCUCCUGGGUUCAAAUGAUUCUCCUGCCUCAGCCUCCUGAGUAGCUGGGAUUACAGGUGCGCACCACCAUGCCUGGCUAUUUUUUUUUUUUUUUGAGACGGAGUCUUGCUCUGUUGCCCAGGCUGGAGUGCAAUGGCAUGAUCUCGGUUCACUACAACCUCUGCCUUCCAGGUUCAGGCGAUUCUCCUGCUUCAGCCUCCCAAGUAGCUGGGAUUACAGGUGCCCGUCACCAUGCCCAGCUAAUUUUUGUAUUUUUGGUAGAGAUGGGGUUUUGCCAUGUUGGUCAGGCUGCUCUCCAACUCCUGACCUCAGGUGAUCUGCCCGCCUCGGCCUCCCAAAGUGCUGGGAUUACAGGUGUGAGCCACUGCGCCCGGCCAUUUUAAUUUAAAUAGAGAUGGGGUCUUGCUGUGUUCCCCAGGCUGGUCUCAAACUCCUGGCCUGGAGCAGACCUCCCACCUCGGUGUCCUGAAGUUCUGGGAUUAUAGGCAUAAGCCACCAUACCUAGCCUAAUCUAAACACUUUGGGAGGCAGGAGGAUUGCUUGAAGAUAGUAGUUCAAGACCAGCCUGGGCAACACAGUGAGACUCCAUCUCUACCAAAAAAAAAAAAAAAUUAGCUGGGCAUGGUUCCAUGUGCCUGUAGUCCUAGCUACUCAAGAGGCUGAGGCAGAGGAUCACUUGAGCCCAGGAGUUCGAGGUUACAGUGAGUUAUAUCAUGCUACCUGGACAGCAGAGCAAGACCCUGUCUCUAACAACAACAAAAAAUUAUACAAACACAGAUCAUUUUGUUUAAAACUGGAUUUGUAGUCUUAUAACCCUUGUGUCAGACCCUGACACCUUAAAACAUCUAGUAGAGAUAAAUAUAAAACUGUCUGGCCAGUAAACCCAAGCAAAAAUGUAUGCUGAUAAUUCUGAAGACAUUUCUAUUUUUAUUUUACCAAUACUUUUUUUCUUUGUCUUUUUUUUUUUUUUUUUUUUUUUUUUAAAGAGAGUUUUCCUUGGUCACGCCAGCUGGAGUGCAGUGGCAUGAUCUCAGCUCACUGCAACCUCUGCGUCCUGGGUUCAAACAAUUCUCCUGCCUCAGCCUCCCAAGUAGCUGGGAUUACAGGCACUUGCCUCCACACCCAGCUACCUUUUUUGUAUUUUUAGUAGAGACAAGGUUUCCUCAUGUUGGCCAGGCUGAUCUCAAACUCCUGACCUCAGGUGAUCCACCCACCUCACCCUUCCAAAGUGCUGGGAUUACAGGUGUGAGCCACCAAGCCUAGCCUAUUUUACCAAUAGUUUUAAAACCAGCUUAUUUAUUAAAGAUUAAAGAUUUACGGCAGGGCACGGUGGCUCAUGCCUGUAAUCCCAGCACUUUGGGAGGCCAAGGUGGGCGGAUCACGAGGUCAGGAGAUCGAGAUCAUCCUGGCUCAUAGUGAAACUCCAUCUCUACUAAAAAAAAUACAAAAAAGUAGCCAAGUGUGGUGGCCCACGUGUGCCUGUAAUCCCAGCUACUCGGGAGGCUGAGGCAGAAUUGCUUGAGCCUGGGAGACGGAGGUUGCUGUGAGCUGAGAUCAUGCCACUGCACUUCAGCCUGGCCGACAGAGCGAGACUCUACCUCAAAAAAAAAAAAAAGAAAGAAAAAAAAUUUUUUUUUCAGUUUCGGCUGAUUGAGGUGGCUGGUGCCUGUAACCCCAGCACUUUGGGAGGCCGGUGUGGGAGGAUUGCUUAAACCCAUGAGCUCAAGACCAGACUGGGCAACAAAGUGAGACCUCAUCUGUACAAAAAAUGAGAAAAUUACCUGGGCAUAGUGGUGCAUGCCUGUAGUCCCAGCUCAGGAUUCAACUGGGGAGGUCGAGGCAGGAAAACUGCUUGAGCUCAGGAGGUUGAGCUGUGUUUGUGCCAGUGCACUCCAGCCUGGGCAUGAGAGUGAGACUGUCUCAAAAAACUGUUUUUUAUCAGUUUCAAAUGAGUUUAGGGUUAAAUUUUCAAUUGUUUACAUUUUAGCCAGGAUUGGCUAAAUUGUAUAAGAAAUACAAAAUAUCUAAGUGCCCUGGAACUAGUAACACGUCUAUGUUUUGUUUGCUGAUCUGGUUUGAUUUGCAAAUGUGGGCAGGAAAGAACUUUAGCAGGUGUUUUUUUUAUUUUGUUUUUGUUUUUGCCUUUUGGCCUCUGUGUGACAGAAAAAGCAACAUUUUUAUGCUGGACAGAGAUACCUUACAUUAUUGCUCUGAGCUCAAGGUUUCAACUUCUUUGAUCUAAGAGAGUCUAACUUUUAUAGACCUUUUUUUUGGUGUUUUAUUUUAUUUUAUUUUAUUUGAGACGGAGUCUUGCUCUGUUGCACAGGGUGGAGUGCAGUGGCGUGAUCUUGGCUCGCUGCAAGCUCCACUUCCCAGGUUCAAGAGAUUCUCCUGCUUCAGCCUCCUGAGUAAUUGGGACAACAGGCACGUGCCACUGCGCCUGGCUAAUUUUUUAUAUUUUUAGUAGAGACGGGGUUUCACCAUAUUGGCCAGGCUGGUCUCGAACUGUUUUUUUUUUUUUUUUUUUUUUUUUUUUUUUUUUUUUGAGACGGAGUUUCGCUCUGUCGCCCAGGCUGGAGUGCAG